Molecule: small RNA, 673 nt
Filed under: Pongo abelii (Sumatran orangutan)
Lineage: Eukaryota; Metazoa; Chordata; Mammalia; Primates; Hominidae
Description: processed transcript
Source: RNAcentral
AAUCUGUGUUUCUAUCGCUUCUCAGCCUUUUGGCUAAGAUCAAGUGUUUUCUUCAGUGUAAUCCAUAGUAGUUAUUGCAUUGGUGCAGCAGUCCCUCACUUUGAAACCUUCGCGAUAGCCCGAGGAGCUGCCUUUAAUAUUUUCCAGGUUAUUGAUAAGAAACCCAGUAUAGAUAACUUUUCCACAGCUGGAUAUAAACCUGAAUCCAUAGAAGGAACUGUGGAAUUUAAAAAUGUUUCUUUCAAUUAUCCAUCAAGACCAUCUAUCAAGAUUCUGAAAGGUCUGAAUCUCAGAAUUAAGUCUGGAGAGACGGUCGCCUUGGUCGGUCCCAAUGGCAGUGGGAAGAGUACGGUAGUCCAGCUUCUGCAGAGGUUAUAUGAUCCGGAUGAUGGCUUUAUCACGGUGGAUGAGAAUGACAUCAGAGCUUUAAAUGUUCGGCAUUAUCGAGAACAUAUUGGAGUGGUUAGUCAAGAGCCUGUUUUGUUCGGGACCACCAUCAGUAACAAUAUCAAGUAUGGACGAGAUGAUGUGACUGAUGAAGAGAUGGAGAGAGCAGCAAGGGAAGCAAAUGCUUAUGAUUUUAUCAUGGAGUUUCCUAAUGUGAGUACACUGUGCAGCCUGUGUCCUUAGGUUAUGGUGGCAGCACUGCAAUAUUCCAAUAUAAGGUAAUGAA